Long non-coding RNA from Lemur catta (Ring-tailed lemur), 3556 nucleotides. RefSeq lists it as uncharacterized. The record is from RefSeq and is a predicted model, not a curated record. Lineage: Eukaryota; Metazoa; Chordata; Mammalia; Primates; Lemuridae. The transcript has 3 exons.
CGUGUGAGGGCGGCCCUGGGUUAAAGGUCGUGCGCCAACGCGAUUGCUGCCUGGCGCAGCCCACCAAACAGGGCUUCUUCGCUCCUUCUGCACAAACGGGAAACGGUAGACGAAGUACGUCGCUCAAGGGCUCGCAGCUGCAAGGUGGCCGCGCAGGAUCGCAACGCAGCCGCGUCUGCAGAGUCCCUCUGCGGUCUGACCCAGCCUUCAAGUCCUGAAACUUCUAAAUUCUGACCCAUGCCCAACCAGACUGAAGCGGGGGCGUCUCCUGCCCGCCCCGUCAGAGACGCGUGGAAGAGCACCAAGCAUGAGCCAGAAACCAACAUGAGUUACACGGAUGAAGAAAAGGUGGUUCCCUGUUUGUAAGGAAGCAGCAGCUUAAUCAAAUAGUAAGACCAGCCCCGAAGUCAAAAGACCUGGAAGUCCUCGUGUGAGUCCAGCUGGGCCAGUUAUUUCUAGCUCUAUCACCCUGGGUUAAGUCCUUUAGCCUCUCUAAGCCUCGAUUUCCUGGUACUAUAGAGGACAGGGGGAGGAUGUUUCAUUCAUAUGAGAAAUGCCUAAAAACACUACCUGGCCCACAGCUGAUGCUCAUUAAAUGUUAGUUUCCUCCAAGCAAGAAAAAGAAUCGCAUUCCAACCAGUCCCCUGGAUUGGAUUUGUAUUUUCUCUUAAGGGCCAGCAGGCCGACUUCAAGGGUCUCAAAUCAUCACCAGCAUAAAGCAGAAAAGAGGAGAAAGAGAUGCCCUGCAGCCAGGUUACGGUCGAGCCCUGGCAACCCAGCCCGGCCCGCUCCUAUUCACCGGGAGCUCACAGGGAAAGCUGGAUGUGGAGCAGCUCGGGAUGAAGACACAGGGAGCCAGGACACCACCACCAGCAGAUGCUGCCCAUGACUCCCGGCGCCCACCAAGACACCUUCCUGCCCAGAACUCUCCCACGAGGCCAAGACGCAGCUUGGGAUGAGCAUACUGACCCCUCCAGACCCACUCUAACAGCCAGGACAGAGACACCCGGUCUGAUAGCAAAAUGACUGACGCUCCUCAACUCAGAGGUUUUGCACAUGCUGAACCACCCUUUGAUCCCCCUUCCCUUGCUCACAAGUCACUCUUUCCAGGAAGCCUUCCUUGGUUCCCCCGCCUAUGGGCUGUGUGCCCUUCCUCUAAGAGCCCACGGCACCCAGGGUAGCCCUCAGUUGUAGAACCUCUCCUGCCAUGUUGCAAUCACAUCUUCACCUGCCUGUUUCAGCUCAACUCCGAGCUCCACGAGAGCAGAGGCAUCUUGUUCAGCCUGGUACAGGACCUGACACAAGGCAGCUGCUCAGUGAACAUCUGCUGAACUGCAGGAACUGAACUGGGAGUGGCUGGGGGGCCACAACUAUCACAUGACCAUGGCCACCACAGCCAAGUGAGGGUGGGACUCACUGCGAUGUUGAGCUUGAUGGUCUGGCCCUCCUUGAAGCCCAGGUCCAAUUUGGGGCCUUGGUCUGGGUUCUGGGCUUGUUUUGCAAAUUCACACUGCUGUUUCACCCACCUGGGGAGACAGGAAGAAAAUGUGAGGAAAGAAGAGACCAUCUACCCUGCACUCGCUCGCUCACUUCACUGCCACCUGCCCCCGUCCAGGCCGAGGCGCGUAUGGAGGCAGGGUGGCAGAAAGAGUGCAGGCUGGGGAGGUGGGCCUGAAUUCAAAUCCUGGCUCUGACACUUAAGUAGCUGCAUGCACGUCUGUUUCCUCAUCGGCACAAGAGGCUGGCAAUUCUACAGGUCUAAAAGACGGCUAUGCGAGUUCAGUAAGACCCCUUAUGUAGAGGGUUCUCAACAUUGUCCCCAUGAAAUGUGAGAGUCUGGCCCCUUCCUCCCUGGCACUGGGCAUGAGAACUAAGACAUGGUCUCUGCAUACACCCGGGAUGCUCAUAAGGUAGAUGGGAGACAAAACAGAUGCCCAGAAGUAGAGGGCAAGACAAAGGUCCCCACCCUCCAUACAACACCAUCCAGCAGCCACCUAGGACAGAAGCACCGGGUCAGGGAAGUGCCAGAGGCACCCACGUGAGUGGCUGGACACUGCCUGUUCACGGGCAGCCAGAGCUGGAGCCCUGCAGAUGGCAGAGGAGGACUUUCCUGCCCUGUCUUUGAGCUUCAUAAAGGAUACCAGGGCAUCUGCUGGGUAGCCUGGAAAUCCAAGCACCAUUUACUCCAAGAACAGGCCCAGAAAGGCCAAAGGAGCCUGGUAAGGGAAAAGACGUGACACCCUGAAGGCUGGGCCAGCUGACAGGAUGGCAGAGACGGGCCUUGGGAAAAGGAGAGGGCUUCACAGCAGAGAGAAGGGAGCCUGCCCCAAAGCAGAACUGUGUUUUCCUGAGGCUCUGCUACCAGACAAAUCACACACAACCCCUUGGAGUAUCCAAACCUGGGAAAUCAUUCUGUCCAGGGAAAGAAGGGAGGAGGCAUGAGCACGUGUCUCCCAGAACCACUCACUUGAAAUGGUCCUGCAAUGCAACGUUGAAGUCAAAGGCAUCGCCUCGGUCCCCGAAGCCAAUUCCAAUAAAUGCCCGUCGCCCUGGAGGACAACACAUGAUCAAUCCCACUUUCCAGCGGCAGAGAAAACUUUUCUCAAGGGGAGGAAGCACCAAGACCCACAUGUACCAUUUCCAUCUUCGAUGCGGAUAACGAAGUACCUGCUGGAAUCCGUCACGCUCUCCACAGCUAUGCCAGGAAACUGAUCCACGGGGGCCUGAGCAAAGAGCUCCCCUGAAAGCACAAGUUAGGGUGAGCCUUGAUCCCCCUCCCAGCCUAGUGUUGCCAGCACACCACCGGGGUCUUUUUCCUGCAAAGCAACUCCAGCAAGCUGAGGCAGAGGGGCAAACCUCACUCUGGGAUUCAAAUCAAAUCCAUUCUUACGGAAGGGAAGACAGAAAUAUAACUAAGGAGAGGUUAAGUCAGAGACGGCUUAUAGGCCAAAUCCAGCCCACAGUUUAAUUUUAAUACAUUUUAUUAAUUGCCAAACAUUUCGAAAUCAGAGUACAUGUAAAAUAAUACAAAUUUCUUGCUUCUUUUAAAAUUAGGCUCUACCAUGCUGGGCCUCCAUCCCCACCUGAGACGAACAGGCUGGAGCUGCUACCUACCCAUUCCACUGGCUUUACCAAUUUACAUUACCUGCCCGGACCCUGAGCACCCUGGCCUAGGCACAACACAUCACACCUUCCAAAAAGGCCUAGUACCUGAGGCAGGACUGUAAGAAGGGGCAGCGAGCCCUGAGGAAAGAAGGGUAGUAGUUCUUGUACCAAUAGCAGAAUCUGAAACAGGAUGAUUUAAUUUAAUCUCAGAGACAGGGGAAAAGACUGGCUUUAAAAGGAGCCCUUGUGAACUGCACCCCCUUGUCAACUACGGCUCUGUACAGGAGCAGGACAACACACAACUCUUGUGAGCAUUAAUGACUGGCAUCAUUUUUGCAUGUGCUGACCUCUGUCAGUGCUUUAAGUAUUUAACCAAAUAUCUUCCAAGCCCUGUGGUUUAAAGGGGACUGUGUAAUCAAGGCUGAACUGAAUUAAAAUCCAUGGUCCUUGA